GAUGAACGCUGGCGGCGUGCCUAAUACAUGCAAGUCGAGCGAACAGACGAGGAGCUUGCUCCUCUGACGUUAGCGGCGGACGGGUGAGUAACACGUGGAUAACCUACCUAUAAGACUGGGAUAACUUCGGGAAACCGGAGCUAAUACCGGAUAAUAUAUUGAACCGCAUGGUUCAAUAGUGAAAGACGGUUUUGCUGUCACUUAUAGAUGGAUCCGCGCCGCAUUAGCUAGUUGGUAAGGUAACGGCUUACCAAGGCAACGAUGCGUAGCCGACCUGAGAGGGUGAUCGGCCACACGGGAACGGAGACACGGUCCAGACUCCUACGGGAGGCAGCAGUAGGGAAUCGUCCGCAAUGGGCGAAAGCCUGACGGAGCAACGCCGCGUGAGUGAUGAAGGUCUUCGGAUCGUAAAACUCUGUUAUUAGGGAAGAACAAAUGUGUAAGUAACUAUGCACGUCUUGACGGUACCUAAUCAGAAAGCCACGGCUAACUACGUG
This 497-nucleotide ribosomal RNA is filed under the name uncultured bacterium. Its description in RNAcentral is "partial 16S ribosomal RNA". It matches the Rfam family "Bacterial small subunit ribosomal RNA", at positions 28 to 507 of the family's 1533-position model. The record is from RNAcentral.